Molecule: ribosomal RNA, 295 nt
Filed under: uncultured bacterium
Lineage: Bacteria
Description: partial 16S ribosomal RNA
Rfam family: Bacterial small subunit ribosomal RNA
Source: RNAcentral
GACGAACGCUGGCGGCGUGCUUAACACAUGCAAGUCGAGCGGUAAGGCCCUUUCGGGGGUACACGAGCGGCGAACGGGUGAGUAACACGUGGGUGACCUGCUCUCAGCUCUGGGAUAAGCCUGGGAAACCGGGUCUAAUACUGGAUAUGACUCCAUGACGCAUGUUGUGGGGUGGAAAGCCUUGUGCGGCUGAGGAUGGGCCCGCGGCCUAUCAGCUUGUUGGUGGGGGAUGGCCUACCAAGGCGACGACGGGUAGCCGGCCUGAGAGGGCGACCGGCCACACUGGGACUGAGAC